Molecule: transfer RNA, 68 nt
Filed under: pig gut metagenome
Rfam family: tRNA (bases 4-64)
About the family: Transfer RNA (tRNA) molecules are approximately 80 nucleotides in length. Their secondary structure includes four short double-helical elements and three loops (D, anti-codon, and T loops).
Source: RNAcentral
GUUUGUAGCUCAGAGGUAGAGCAACCGGCUGUUAACCGGUAGGUCGUGGGUUCGAUCCCCACCAUGCC